RNAcentral lists this ribosomal RNA (253 nucleotides) under uncultured bacterium. RNAcentral describes it as "partial 16S ribosomal RNA". It matches the Rfam family "Bacterial small subunit ribosomal RNA", at positions 524 to 776 of the family's 1533-position model. The record is from RNAcentral.
GACGAACCGUGCGAACGUUGUUCGGAAUCACUGGGCUUAAAGGGCGCGUAGGCGGCCUCGCAAGUCGGGGGUGAAAUCUUUCGGCUUAACCGGAAAAGGGCCUUCGAUACUGCGGAGCUUGAGGGAGGUAGGGGCAGACGGAACUUCCGGUGGAGCGGUGAAAUGCGUUGAUAUCGGAAGGAACGCCGGUGGCGAAAGCGGUCUGCUGGCCCUCUUCUGACGCUGAGGCGCGAAAGCCAGGGGAGCAAACGGG